Molecule: long non-coding RNA, 450 nt
Filed under: Ictidomys tridecemlineatus (thirteen-lined ground squirrel)
Lineage: Eukaryota; Metazoa; Chordata; Mammalia; Rodentia; Sciuridae
Description: lncRNA (ENSSTOG00000033609.1)
Source: RNAcentral
AGAACAGAUGGGUUUGAGGCCUAAAAAUGAAGGGAGCUUCCUGGGUAUAAAGCUAACCCCACUGGGUUAGCCUGAGAAGCUCUGGCGGAGACUAUAGGCAGGCCUGUAUUAACAGUGUCCUUAGGUGUGUAUGGCCUUUUCAUAGCUCAAGUGUAUGUGCUCGUCUCCAUUAUCUUAUCUGUGCCCUGUGAUGUAGGAAAGUCAUGUCUGGUGAUAAAGCUGGAUGAUAUGAGCCUGGGUGCCACCAACAGUCAGAUUCCUGGUGACUUGGAGAAGACCAAGAAGAAGACUGAGAAGAGUUCAAGAUAGAAUACUAGUUUGAUUUUUAUCAGGUCAUAAUUUCUGUAAUUCAGUUAUAUAAUUUAAAAAAUUCCAUUUGUUGUUUGCAAUCAAAAGAAUUCUAACAAAUUCUGAUGUGGUAUAAAAGCAAUAAAGUUCCUGAAAAUAAGC